This 71-nucleotide transfer RNA is filed under the name Stegodyphus mimosarum. It matches the Rfam family "tRNA". From Rfam's summary of the family: Transfer RNA (tRNA) molecules are approximately 80 nucleotides in length. The record is from Rfam by way of RNAcentral. Lineage: Eukaryota; Metazoa; Arthropoda; Arachnida; Araneae; Eresidae.
GCCUUUGGUGUAGUGGUCAGCACUCUCGACACGUAUUCGAGAGGUCCAUGGUUCGAGUCCCGGCAAGGGCA